GGUGCUCGCUGCUGAGCGGACGAUGAGGAUGAAGACGAGCUGAGCGGUGCUGCGUUCACGGCUAUCGGGAACACGCCAAUCAUCAACAAUUGGCUUUCGCACGACGACGGCCACCAAAGAGCUCGCCGAUCGUCGGGCCGAUUCCUACCAGCUGUUCCAGGUCGUCUUCUGCGGCGCCGGCGCGUCUGCGGGCGGCGCUUCUCUUCUCGUCCAAAGUCUCCACGAAGUCCAUCGCCCCGUGGACCACUUCCACCACGAACCUGGCACGACCACAGCCACGCAAAAGCCAGGUGGUCAGAAUUCAGAUCAGAAGCAGCCAGGGAGACGGACGGUACCGGCGCAGGUGGGCCGGGACGGGCAGGUCGGUGCGGCCCGGCGGCCUGGCGAGUCGGCGGGCAAGAAGAUUGUGGUCCUUCAGGACGUCCUGCAGUAGCGCCGCCUCCAGUUGCAGCUGCAACACAACGAGACACGUCGAUGACGUCACCGGGUAGAGCCCGACCGACCGAUGGAUCGAAAAGCGCUGCGCUACCUGCCGCAGCUCCUCCUGCAUUCUGAGUCGCUGCUCG
This is a long non-coding RNA of Phyllopteryx taeniolatus (common seadragon), 566 nucleotides long. RefSeq lists it as uncharacterized. The transcript has 4 exons. Lineage: Eukaryota; Metazoa; Chordata; Actinopteri; Syngnathiformes; Syngnathidae. The record is from RefSeq and is a predicted model, not a curated record.